Molecule: ribosomal RNA, 383 nt
Filed under: uncultured bacterium
Lineage: Bacteria
Description: bacterial SSU rRNA
Rfam family: Bacterial small subunit ribosomal RNA
Source: RNAcentral
CUUCGGGGUAGUGGCGCCGGGUGCGUAACGCGUGGGAAUCUGCCUUAGUACGGAAUAACUCAGGAAACUUGUGCUAUACGGAUGAUGUCGAGAGACAAAGAUUAUCGCCUAGGGAUGAGCCCGCGUAGGAUUAGCUAGUUGGUGGGGUAAAGGCCUACCAAGGCUACGAUCCUUAGCUGGUCUGAGAGGAUGAUCAGCCACACUGGGACUGAGACACGGCCCAGACUCGUACGGGAGGCAGCAGUGGGGAAUCUUAGACAAUGGGCGCAAGCCUGAUCUAGCCAUGCCGCGUGAUCGAUGAAGGCCUUAGGGUUGUAAAGAUCUUUCACUGGGGAAGAUAAUGACGGUACCCACAGAAGACGCCCCGGCUAACUCCGUGCCAG